RNAcentral lists this microRNA precursor (104 nucleotides) under Marmota monax (woodchuck). The record is from RNAcentral. Lineage: Eukaryota; Metazoa; Chordata; Mammalia; Rodentia; Sciuridae.
AGAGCAUGUUGUUAGAUCACAUGGUUGGCAUAUGCUUGACUUUUAAGAAAAUGCCAAUCUAUCUUCCAAAGUGACUGUACCAUUUUUGCAUUCUUACUGGUGAU